UACGUAGGGUGCAAGCGUUAAUCGGAAUUACUGGGCGUAAAGCGUGCGCAGGCGGUUUUGUAAGACUGUCGUGAAAUCCCCGGGCUUAACCUGGGAAUGGCGAUGGUGACUGCAAGGCUAGAGUUUGGCAGAGGGGGGUAGAAUUCCACGUGUAGCAGUGAAAUGCGUAGAUAUGUGGAGAAACACCGAUGGCGAAGGCAGCCCCCUGGGUCAAAACUGACGCUCAUGCACGAAAGCGUGGGGAGCAAACAGG
This 253-nucleotide ribosomal RNA is filed under the name uncultured bacterium. RNAcentral's name for it is "partial 16S ribosomal RNA". It matches the Rfam family "Bacterial small subunit ribosomal RNA", at positions 524 to 776 of the family's 1533-position model. The record is from RNAcentral.